AGCACCUCAAGUGGUCAGGAGGAUUAUUGGGCCUAAAGCAUCCGUAGCCGGCUCUGCAAGUUUCCGGUUAAAUCCAUUCGCUCAACGAAUGGGCUGCCGGAAAUACUACAUAGCUAGGGAGUGGGAGAGGUAGACGGUAUUCGGUAGGAAGGGGUAAAAUCCUUUGAUCUAUUGAGGACCACCUAUGGCGAAGGCAGUCUACCAGAACACGUUCGACGGUGAGGGAUGAAAGCUGGGGGAGCAAACC
RNAcentral lists this ribosomal RNA (247 nucleotides) under uncultured crenarchaeote. RNAcentral's name for it is "partial 16S ribosomal RNA". It matches the Rfam family "Archaeal small subunit ribosomal RNA", at positions 478 to 725 of the family's 1478-position model. The record is from RNAcentral. Lineage: Archaea; Thermoproteati; Thermoproteota.